Schistosoma curassoni is the source of this 45-nucleotide non-coding RNA. The record is from Rfam. Lineage: Eukaryota; Metazoa; Platyhelminthes; Trematoda; Strigeidida; Schistosomatidae.
AUCCAGCUGACGAGUCCCAAAUAUGAUGAAACGUGCAUCCUGGAU